This 208-nucleotide long non-coding RNA is filed under the name Homo sapiens (human). RNAcentral's name for it is "non-protein coding lnc-SLF2-3:1". The record is from RNAcentral. Lineage: Eukaryota; Metazoa; Chordata; Mammalia; Primates; Hominidae.
GGCCUCCCAAAGUGCUGAGAUUACAGGCAUGAGCCACCGCAUCUGGCCUUUUUUUUUUUUUUGAGAUGGAGUCUCACUCUAUUGCCCAGACUGGAGUACAGUGGCUUGAUCUUGGCUCACUGCAACCUCCGCCUCCCGGGUUCAAGCAAUUCUCCUGCCUCAGCUGCCUGAAUAGCUAAGAUUACAGGUAUCUGCCACCAUGCCUGGC